CCUACGGGAGGCAGCAGUGGGGAAUUUUGGACAAUGGGCGCAAGCCUGAUCCAGCAAUGCCGCGUGAGUGAAGAAGGCCUUCGGGUUGUAAAGCUCUUUUGUCAGGGAAGAAACGGUGGGGGCUAAUAUCUCCCACUAAUGACGGUACCUGAAGAAUAAGCACCGGCUAACUACGUGCCAGCAGCCGCGGUAAUACGUAGGGUGCAAGCGUUAAUCGGAAUUACUGGGCGUAAAGCGUGCGCAGGCGGUUUUGUAAGUUUGUCGUGAAAUCCCCGGGCUCAACCUGGGAAUGGCGAUGAAGACUGCAAGGCUAGAAUCUGGCAGAGGGGGGUAGAAUUCCACGUGUAGCAGUGAAAUGCGUAGAGAUGUGGAGGAACACCGAUGGCGAAGGCAGCCCCCUGGGUCAAGAUUGACGCUCAUGCACGAAAGCGUGGGGAGCAAACAGGAUUAGAUACCCUGGUAGUCCACGCCCUAAACGAUGUCUACUAGUUGUCGGGUUUUAAUUAACUUGGUAACGCAGCUAACGCGUGAAGUAGACCGCCUGGGGAGUACGGUCGCAAGAUUAAAACGUCAAAAGUAGUAAGUUGGACGUCGUAGACGACGUCGACCGAGGACCAACGACGGGAGGGAGGUUAGGG
Molecule: ribosomal RNA, 638 nt
Filed under: uncultured bacterium
Lineage: Bacteria
Description: bacterial SSU rRNA
Rfam family: Bacterial small subunit ribosomal RNA
Source: RNAcentral